This 497-nucleotide ribosomal RNA is filed under the name uncultured bacterium. RNAcentral describes it as "partial 16S ribosomal RNA". It matches the Rfam family "Bacterial small subunit ribosomal RNA", at positions 28 to 507 of the family's 1533-position model. The record is from RNAcentral.
GACGAACGCUGGCGGCGUGCCUAAUACAUGCAAGUUGAGCGCUGAAGGUUGGUACUUGUACCAACUGGAUGAGCAGCAAACGGGUGAGUAACGCGUGGGGAAUCUGCCUUUGAGCGGGGGACAACAUUUGGAAACGAAUGCUAAUACCGCAUAAAAACUUUAAACACAAGUUUUAAGUUUGAAAGAUGCAAUUGCAUCACUCAAAGAUGAUCCCGCGUUGUAUUAGCUAGUUGGUGAGGUAAAGGCUCACCAAGGCGAUGAUACAUAGCCGACCUGAGAGGGUGAGCGGCCACAUUGGGACUGAGACACGGCCCAAACUCCUACGGGAGGCAGCAGUAGGGAAUCUUCGGCAAUGGACGAAAGUCUGACCGAGCAACGCCGCGUGAGUGAAGAAGGUUUUCGGAUCGUAAAACUCUGUUGGUAGAGAAGAACGUUGGUGAGAGUGGAAAGCUCAUCAAGUGACGGUAACUACCCAGAAAGGGACGGCUAACUACGUG